RNAcentral lists this ribosomal RNA (544 nucleotides) under Winkia neuii subsp. neuii. RNAcentral's name for it is "bacterial SSU rRNA". It matches the Rfam family "Bacterial small subunit ribosomal RNA", at positions 40 to 578 of the family's 1533-position model. Lineage: Bacteria; Bacillati; Actinomycetota; Actinomycetes; Actinomycetales; Actinomycetaceae. The record is from RNAcentral.
CGGCGUGCUUAACACAUGCAAGUCGAACGGGAUCCAUUGGUGCUUGCACUUUUGGUGAGAGUGGCGAACGGGUGAGUAACACGUGAGUAACCUGCCCUUUUCUUUGGGAUAAGCCUGGGAAACUGGGUCUAAUACUGGAUGUUCCGGCUUCCUCGCAUGGGGUUGUUGGGAAAGGUUUUUUCUGGAUUGGGAUGGGCUCGCGGCUUAUCAGCUUGUUGGUGGGGUGAUGGCUUACCAAGGCUUUGACGGGUAGCCGGCCUGAGAGGGUGGUCGGUCACACUGGGACUGAGAUACGGCCCAGACUCCUACGGGAGGCAGCAGUGGGGGAUAUUGCACAAUGGACGCAAGUCUGAUGCAGCGACGUCGUGUGGGGGAUGAAGGCCUUCGGGUUGUAAACUCCUUUCGCCUGCGGAAAAGGCAGGGUUUUGGCCUUGUUGAUGGUAGUGGGUAAAGAAGCGCCSGCUAACUACGUGCCAGCMGCCGCGGUAAUACGUAGGGCGCGAGCGUUGYCCGGAWUUAUUGGGCGUAAAGSSCUCGUAGSCGG